Molecule: ribosomal RNA, 613 nt
Filed under: uncultured beta proteobacterium
Lineage: Bacteria; Pseudomonadati; Pseudomonadota; Betaproteobacteria
Description: bacterial SSU rRNA
Rfam family: Bacterial small subunit ribosomal RNA
Source: RNAcentral
GUUUGAUCAUGGCUCAGAUUGAACGCUGGCGGCAUGCUUUACACAUGCAAGUCGAACGGCAGCACGGGUGCUUGCACCUGGUGGCGAGUGGCGAACGGGUGAGUAAUAUAUCGGAACAUGUCCGGAAGUGGGGGAUAACGUAGCGAAAGUUACGCUAAUACCGCAUAUGCCCUGAGGGGGAAAGGGGGGGAUCGCAAGACCUCUCGCUUUCGGAGUGGCCGAUAUCAGAUUAGCUAGUUGGUGAGGUAAAGGCUCACCAAGGCGACGAUCUGUAGCUGGUCUGAGGGGACGACCAGCCACACUGGGACUGAGACACGGCCCAGACUCCUACGGGAGGCAGCAGUGGGGAAUUUUGGACAAUGGGCGCAAGCCUGAUCCAGCCAUGCCGCGUGAGUGAAGAAGGCCUUCGGGUUGUAAAGCUCUUUCAGCCGGAAAGAAAUCGCACUGGUUAAUACCUUGUGUGGAUGACGGUACCGGAAGAAGAAGCACCGGCUAACUACGUGCCAGCAGCCGCGGUAAUACGUAGGGUGCGAGCGUUAAUCGGAAUUACUGGGCGUAAAGCGUGCGCAGGCGGUUUUGUAAGACAGACGUGAAAUCCCCGGGCUUAACCUGG